GGGGAUCUGCCCGAUAGAGGGGGAUAACCACUGGAAACGGUGGCUAAUACCGCAUAACGUCGCAAGACCAAAGAGGGGGACCUUCGGGCCUCUCACUAUCGGAUGAACCCAGAUGGGAUUAGCCAGUAGGCGGGGUAAUGGCCCACCUAGGCGACGAUCCCUAGCUGGUCUGAGAGGAUGACCAGCCACACUGGAACUGAGACACGGUCCAGACUCCUACGGGAGGCAACAGUGGGGAAUAUUGCACAAUGGGCGCAAGCCUGAUGCAGCCAUGCCGCGUGUAUGAAGAAGGCCUUCGGGUUGUAAAGUACUUUCAGCGGGGAGGAAGGCGAUGCGGUUAAUAACCGCGUCGAUUGACGUUACCCGCAGAAGAAGCACCGGCUAACUCCGUGCCAGCAGCCGCGGUAAUACGGAGGGUGCAAGCGUUAAUCGGAAUUACUGGGCGUAAAGCGCACGCAGGCGGUCUGUUAAGUCAGAUGUGAAAUCCCCGGGCUUAACCUGGGAACUGCAUUUGAAACUGGCAGGCUUGAGUCUUGUAGAGGGGGGUAGAAUUCCAGGU
RNAcentral lists this ribosomal RNA (559 nucleotides) under uncultured bacterium. Its description in RNAcentral is "bacterial SSU rRNA". It matches the Rfam family "Bacterial small subunit ribosomal RNA", at positions 120 to 674 of the family's 1533-position model. The record is from RNAcentral.